Molecule: ribosomal RNA, 468 nt
Filed under: uncultured bacterium
Lineage: Bacteria
Description: partial 16S ribosomal RNA
Rfam family: Bacterial small subunit ribosomal RNA
Source: RNAcentral
GACGAACGCUGGCGGCGUGCUUAACACAUGCAAGUCGAACGGAAAGGCCCUGCUUUUGUGGGGUGCUCGAGUGGCGAACGGGUGAGUAACACGUGAGUAACCUGCCCUUGACUUUGGGAUAACUUCAGGAAACUGGGGCUAAUACCGGAUAGGAGCUCCUGCUGCAUGGUGGGGGUUGGAAAGUUUCGGCGGUUGGGGAUGGACUCGCGGCUUAUCAGCUUGUUGGUGGGGUAGUGGCUUACCAAGGCUUUGACGGGUAGCCGGCCUGAGAGGGUGACCGGCCACAUUGGGACUGAGAUACGGCCCAGAGUCCUACGGGAGGCAGCAGUGGGGAAUAUUGCACAAUGGGCGGAAGCCGGAUGCAGCAACGCCGCGUGCGGGAUGACGGCCUUCGGGUUGUAAACCGCUUUCGCCUGGGACGAAGCGUGAGUGACGGUAAUGGGUAAAGAAGCACCGGCUAACUACGUG